UGAGCAAUCUGCCCUUCUCAUCGGAAUAAGCGUUGGAAACGACGUCUAAUGCCGAAUACGACCUCCUUUCGCAUGAUCGGAGGUGGAAAGCUCCGGCGGAGAAGGAUGAGCUCGCGGCCUAUCAGCUUGUUGGUGAGGUAAUGGCUCACCAAGGCUUCGACGGGUAGCCGGCCUGAGAGGGUGACCGGCCACACUGGGACUGAGACACGGCCCAGACUCCUAGGGAGG
Molecule: ribosomal RNA, 228 nt
Filed under: uncultured bacterium
Lineage: Bacteria
Description: partial 16S ribosomal RNA
Rfam family: Bacterial small subunit ribosomal RNA
Source: RNAcentral